Molecule: ribosomal RNA, 463 nt
Filed under: Haptophyta environmental samples
Lineage: Eukaryota; Haptophyta
Description: SSU rRNA
Rfam family: Eukaryotic small subunit ribosomal RNA
Source: RNAcentral
GCGCGUAAAUUGCCCGAAUCCUGACACAGGGAGGUAGUGACAAGAAAUAACAAUACAGGGCUCUUCGAGUCUUGUAAUUGGAAUGAGUACAAUUUACAUCUCUUCACGAGGAUCAAUUGGAGGGCAAGUCUGGUGCCAGCAGCCGCGGUAAUUCCAGCUCCAAUAGCGUAUAUUAAAGUUGUUGCAGUUAAAACGCUCGUAGUCGGAUUUCGGGGCGGGCCCGCCGGUCUGCCGAUGGGUAUGCACUGGCGGGCGCGUCCUUCCUCCCGGAGACGGCUGCUACUCUUAACUGAGCGGUGGUCGGAGACGGGAUAUUUACUUUGAAAAAAUCAGAGUGUUUCAAGCAGGCAGUCGCUCUUGCAUGGAUUAGCAUGGGAUAAUGAAAUAGGACUCUGGUGCUAUUUUGUUGGUUUCGAGCACCGGAGUAAUGAUUAACAGGGACAGUCAGGGGCACUCGUAUUCC